This 3519-nucleotide ribosomal RNA is filed under the name Triticum aestivum (bread wheat). RNAcentral's name for it is "partial small subunit ribosomal RNA". The record is from RNAcentral. Lineage: Eukaryota; Viridiplantae; Streptophyta; Magnoliopsida; Poales; Poaceae.
AUGGAGCACAUGGAGAAUGAGAGCCACGAGGGGAAAAAGCAGGAUGAAGAGGGGCAUCAUAACAAUGAGGUGGUCCGUCUUGAAGAAUACAAGAAGCUUAUUGACGUAAAGACGGCUCUCCGCCAGAGUAACCUAAACCCUGAGAGGCCUGAUGCAAGUCACCUGAGAACUCUUGAUUCCAGUAUUAAGCGCAACACAGCAGUUAUCAAGAAGCUCAAAGCGAUAAACGAUGAACAAAAGGAUGGCUUAAUGGAAGAAUUGAAAAGUGUGAAUCUAAGCAAAUUUGUCAGUGAAGCAGUUUCUUACAUUUGUGAGGCCAAACUUCGUUCUGCUGAUAUACAAGCUGCUGUUCAGAUAUGCUCGCUACUUCAUCAAAGGUACAAGGACUUCUCUCCUUGCCUUAUUCAAGGACUGCUGAAAGCCUUCUUUCCAGGGAAAGCUGGAGAUGAUAUAGAUCUAGAUAAGAACUCAAGGGCCAUGAAGAAAAGAAGCACACUGAAGCUUCUUAUGGAAUUGUAUUUUGUUGGAAUUGUUGAAGAUGCUAGUACUUUCAUAAACAUUAUAAAGGAUCUGACGUCGGUGGAACAUUUGAAGGACCGUGAAACAACUCAGACAAAUUUGACUCUCCUUGCUAGUUUUGCUCGCCAAGGAAAGCAUUUUCUUGGAUUACAAAAACAUGGGCAAGAAGCUUAUGAUGAGUUUUUUAUGGGCCUCAAUAUUACCGAUGAUCUGAAGACGUUCUUUAAGAAAUCCUUGAGCUCUUACUAUGAUGCCGCAGUUGCAAUUCUCCAGUCAGAACAUGCGUCUCUUCGUGCAAUGGAGUCUGAAAAUGCAAAGAUUUUAAAUGUCAAAGGGGAACUAAGUGAUGAGAAUACUGCCUUGUAUGAGAAGCUUCGGAAAUCUUUCGAUCAGUUAUUGCGCUGCGUUUCAUCCUUAGCUGAAGCUCUUGAUAUGCAGCCUCCUGUUAUGCCAGAUGAUGGACAUACAACAAGGGUAACUACGGCGUCAGAGUUAUCCCCUUCUGGGAAACAUUUUUCUGCAGUAGAACCUAUCUGGGAUGAUGAAGACACAAAGGCAUUUUAUGAGUCUUUGCCUGAUCUCAGAGUAUUCGUGCCUGGUGUACUAUUGGGAGAAGCUGAACCAAAGUUGGUAGAUCAACAUGGAAAGGUUCACGAACAAACUGGUGAGCAUAAAUUGGAACAAGGAGCUGAAGUUCAAAACAAUGCUGAAGCUUCUGUCCCUGAGCACCAGUUGGAAGGAAAAACAAAUGUUGGAUCCAAGAAUAGAGAAAAAAAAGAUAAAACAGGCAAAGAAAUUUCUAAAGAAAAAGAGGCUGAUCAAAAAGGAGAUAUUGAAAGAGAAAAAGUAAGAGUCACAGAUGGCGCAAGUUUGGACAACCUGCUUCAGAGGCUGCCAAGGUGUGUGAGCCGAGAUCUAAUUGACCAAUUGACGGUGGAGUUUUGCUAUCUGAAUUCUAAAGCAAACAGGAAGAAACUUGCACGAGCUUUAUUCAAUGUUCCAAGGACUUCGUUGGAACUGUUACCUUUCUACUCCCGUUUAGUUGCCACUUUGUCCACAUGCAUGAAGGAUCUCCCAAGUAUGCUCUUGUCAAUGCUUGAAGAAGAGUUUAACUUUUUGAUGAACAAGAAGGAUCAGAUCAAAAUCGAAACAAAAAUUAGAAAUAUUAGAUUUAUUGGGGAAUUGUGCAAAUUCAAUAUUGCUCCAUCAGGCCUUGUUUUUAGUUGUUUGAAGGCUUGCCUAGAUGAUUUUAGCCAUCAUAACAUUGAUGUGGCCUGCAAUCUUCUUGAGACCUGCGGGCGCUUUCUUUAUCUCUCACAAGGAACUACAGUUCGCAUGUCAAACAUGCUGGAAAUACUGAGGAGGUUGAAAAAUGUGAAGAAUUUGGAUCCACACCACAGCACACUUGUAGAGAACGCCUAUUACUUAUGCAAACCACCAGAAAGAUCUGCCAGAGUCUCUAAAGUCCGGCCACCUCUGCAUCAGUACAUAAGGAAGCUGCUUUUCUCAGAUCUUGAUAAAACAAGUGUUCAGCAUGUUCUUCGUCAGUUACGCAAGUUACCUUGGGCUGAGUGUGAGGAGUACCUGGUGAAAUGUUUUCUCAAGGUUCACAAGGGAAAAUAUAGCCAAGUUCAUCUGAUUGCUCUUCUAACUGCUGGUCUUAGUCACUAUCAUGAUGAUUUUCAUGUGGCUGUGGUAGAUGAGGUUCUAGAAGAGAUUAGAGUUGGACUUGAGCUGAAUGACUAUGCAAUGCAACAGCGACAACUUGCCCACAUGCGAUUCCUUGGGGAGCUGUAUAACUACGAGCAUAUUGAUUCAUCAGUUAUAUUUGACACAUUGUACCUUAUUACUGUAUUUGGUCAUGGAACACUGGAACAAGAUCUGCUUGAUCCCCCAGAAGAUUUCUUCAGGAUAAGGAUGAUUGUUACACUUCUCCAGACGUGUGGUCACUAUUUUGAUAGAGGCUCUUCAAAAAGAAAGCUUGACAGAUUUUUGCUACAUUUUCAAAGAUAUAUUCUGAACAAAGGGCCAUUGCCACUUGAUGUUGAGUUUGAUGUGCAGGACAUGUUUGCUGAGCUACGGCCUAACAUGACUAGGUAUUCAUCUCCAGAACUGUUGGCUUCUGCUCUGGCUGAGCUUGAAGAAAAUGAGAAGACGAAACAAUCCGAAAGUGCUGCUUCUGAUGUCAGCUGCAAGAGCUCAGCAAACAGGCCUGACAAAAAUGGCAGGGGCCACGAAGAAGUAGCAGACAGUGAAAGCUACUCAGGUAGCAGAAGCAUCUAUCGCGAUGGAAGUGAAGAUGGAGAUUCUCUGUACGAAGAAAACUCAGAUGGCAGGUCAGGGAAUGGGGUUGUAGAUGACGAUGACACCAGGCCUUCUGGUUCUGAUGAAGAAGAAAGGGUCCAGGUUAGACAUAAGGUGGUGCAAGUUGACCCUAAGGAGCAGGAAGACUUUGACCGGGAGCUGAGGGCCCUUCUACAGGAAAGCUUGGAGUCGCGCAAGUUGGAGCCACGGGUGAAAUCCACUUUGAAUAUGACUGUACCGAUGAAAAUCGUUGAGGGGUCAAAGGACUCGAGAGCCACUGAAAGAGAGAGUGGAGAAGAGCUUACAGCUGAGGAAAGUGGUAAUGCUGGGGGCGGUAGUGAGGUCAAGGUGUGCGUCAGGGUGCUUGUGAAGAAAGGGCACAAGCAGCAGACAAGGCAAAUGCUCAUUCCUGGGGACUGCUCACUCGUUCAGAGCACAAAGCAGCAAGAGGCGGCUCUGCUCGAGGAGAAGCAAAACAUCAAGCAGAAAAUCCUGGAAUACAACGAGAGGGAGGAGGAAGAAUUCAACGCAUCAUCAUUCCAAACUGGGUUCUGGGGUCAAGGAGGAAGCAGCGCAGGCGGCAGUAUCGGCUCGGCCGGUCGUGGUUCAUGGGACGGUUCAAACAGAGGCGGUCGCGGCCGGCAGCGGUACUACAUCGCCGGCGGGAUCUAUCAUGGCUAUGGCAGGGGAAGGUGA